RNAcentral lists this ribosomal RNA (468 nucleotides) under uncultured bacterium. RNAcentral's name for it is "partial 16S ribosomal RNA". It matches the Rfam family "Bacterial small subunit ribosomal RNA", at positions 28 to 507 of the family's 1533-position model. The record is from RNAcentral.
GACGAACGCUGGCGGCGUGCUUAACACAUGCAAGUCGAACGGAAAGGCCCUGCUUUUGUGGGGUGCUCGAGUGGCGAACGGGUGAGUAACACGUGAGUAACCUGCCCUUGACUUUGGGAUAACUUCAGGAAACUGGGGCUAAUACCGGAUAGGAGCCCCUGCUGCAUGGUGGGGGUUGGAAAGUUUCGGCGGUUGGGGCUGGACUCGCGGCUUAUCAGCUUGUUGGUGGGGUAGUGGCUUACCAAGGCUUUGACGGGUAGCCGGCCUGAGAGGGUGACCGGCCACAUUGGGACUGCGAUACGGCCCAGACUCCUACGGGAGGCAGCAGUGGGGAAUAUUGCACAAUGGGCGGAAGCCUGAUGCAGCAACGCCGCGUGCGGGAUGACGGCCUUCGGGUUGUAAACCGCUUUCGCCUGUGACGAAGCGUGAGUGACGGUAAUGGGUAAAGAAGCACCGGCUAACUACGUG